ACCAUCCCAUUCGGAUUGCAGGCUGCAACCCGCCUGUAUGAAGUUGGAAUCGCUAGUAAUCGCGGAUCAGCAUGCCGCGGUGAAUACGUUCCCGGGCCUUGUACACACCGCCCGUCACACCAUGAGAGUCGGGAACACCCGAAGUCCGUAGCCUAACCGCAAGGAGGGCGCGGCCGAAGGUGGGUUCGAUAAUUGGGGUGAAGUCGUAACAAGGUAGC
RNAcentral lists this ribosomal RNA (218 nucleotides) under uncultured bacterium. RNAcentral's name for it is "partial 16S ribosomal RNA". It matches the Rfam family "Bacterial small subunit ribosomal RNA", at positions 1282 to 1500 of the family's 1533-position model. The record is from RNAcentral.